RNAcentral lists this ribosomal RNA (280 nucleotides) under uncultured bacterium. Its description in RNAcentral is "partial 16S ribosomal RNA". It matches the Rfam family "Bacterial small subunit ribosomal RNA", at positions 29 to 336 of the family's 1533-position model. The record is from RNAcentral.
AACGAACGCUGGCGGCAUGCCUAAUACAUGCAAGUCGAACGAGAUCUUCGGAUCUAGUGGCGCACGGGUGCGUAACGCGUGGGAAUCUGCCCUUGGGUUCGGAAUAACAGCGGGAAACUGCUGCUAAUACCGGAUGAUGACGUAAGUCCAAAGAUUUAUCGCCCAGGGAUGAGCCCGCGUAGGAUUAGGUAGUUGGUGGGGUAAAGGCCUACCAAGCCUACGAUCCUUAGCUGGUCUGAGAGGAUGAUCAGCCACACUGGGACUGAGACACGGCCCAGAC